GUGUUCUGUUUCCAUUGAAUAGCAAUGCUCAGGCUCUCAAACCCUUCCUCUGCUCCCCUGCGGUGUGGGGGAAGGGCUGUGGCUUGUGCAAUGUCCUGGUGUUGGGGAGGAGUGGUGUCUUCAGGCACAGCUUCCUGCCUCCUGCACUCUUGUGCCUUUUCUGGCGUGGUGUGCUUGCCCUGAUCUGUGAUUCCAGUGCUGCCCUUGGUGAUUCACGGAGAAGGUUAUUUUACCCUGGGGACAGAGUGCCACACAAAGACUUUCCUGCUGCUGAAUGUGUGAACAAACACCAUCUCAGAGAAUCAAUAGAAGAAAUCUAAGAAGAAAUGCCUUGAUUGGCAAAGACUUCUGGUGGCCUAUACAGAAUCAUAAAAUGAAUGAAGCACCUGAUGGUCAAGGAAGAGAAAAGAAGAUGAAAGGAUGAAUGCGUAUUUGUUUCAUAAUCACUAACAGGUGUUAAUAAAACGUAUUGUACAAUGCUCAAUUGUCAUGACAUUGAAAGGGAUCAGGUUCACCUGUUCAUUGUGAUAUAUUAUGUAGUUUCACUUCUUAAAAUGCAACAGCUCUGUUGAAUUGUUCUUAUCAUUAACACUUGAAGUAAUAAAAUAGGCUUUAUUAAUGUUUCAUUUGAUUUAUUUUUAUUAUAGU
This 648-nucleotide long non-coding RNA is filed under the name Heterocephalus glaber (naked mole-rat). RNAcentral's name for it is "lncRNA (ENSHGLG00000025751.2)". The record is from RNAcentral. Lineage: Eukaryota; Metazoa; Chordata; Mammalia; Rodentia; Bathyergidae.